This is a long non-coding RNA of Cercocebus atys (sooty mangabey), 561 nucleotides long. RefSeq lists it as uncharacterized. Lineage: Eukaryota; Metazoa; Chordata; Mammalia; Primates; Cercopithecidae. The transcript is spliced from 3 exons. The record is from RefSeq and is a predicted model, not a curated record.
GAGGCUAGGCAAUGUCUACUACGAAAAGAGAAAUAAAUAGCUCCACCAUUGGAAACAAGUGUCCAGAAAGCUGCAAGUUUAUCCUGUACUAGAGCCAAUGAACAACCAGGUGCUGAUCACAUCCCCGGGGAAGCGGGGAGGGCGAUGCAGGCACAGAUGGGGUCCUGUUGUAGGAGAGAGACCGGAGGGCAGGAAGGGAGGAAAAUCUGAAUCCAUAAGCUUUCGCUUUAUGCAAACCAGACUCAUAAGUUUUCUUUAUUUCAGCUGGAACUCACAGCACAGCUGCUUUAUUUACUUACCUACUGGCUGCAUUUCUGAGAACCAGUUUUAUUCCUGUUCAAAGGAAGCCAGGCAGAGUUGGGAAAAUAUUUUCCUAGCCAGCUCCUUAGCACUGCUGUCUGAGGGAAACCAUCUGGCCAAGAUGCCCUUCAAGCAAGCAAACGUGGCCAGAGGAAAACCACAACCGUGUGGACUGAUUCUACCCUGAAUACAAGAUGAUACAUCUCUAACGAGGCUCAGAACUGCCUGUCUACUAAUAAGAGAGGAACUCUUUUGUGAGGG